CCGAGGAUUGAUGGCCGUCAAAGCCAAUUAAAUUCAUGGUCAGAGGAGAAUGGGUGGAGAGUUGGUGAGGUGUCCUGGUGUUUGUGUGGGCGGUGCCGUCCUAUGGAAUCUGUGGUGGAGAGCUUGUGCUGUAGGGAAGUGAGUGCGUUUUGGUCGCUGGUCGAGAAGCUCAGCCCAAGACCAGCAGAUGUGACAUGCCUCACUCAGCAUCCAGGAUUUGAUGCAUGCUGCCUGAAUCCGUUUGUGCUUAAGAUAGCGUACACACAUUUCAAGCAGGAUCAUGGUCCCCUUCAAGCCAGCACGCACGAGCAAUACCGGUACACUGCAUACAGGCAGGCUAUACGAUGGGCUUAUGGAGUUCUUGGCCUGCAUAUAAGGAAGCCUCUACCCUCCUGUCUGGUUUCAGCCAUCAGGCAACAAUUUCAGAGUGGUGACCAGACCUAUCAUGGCUUUCAAUGGCCUCGUUUGGAUGAAGAAUAAAAACCAUAUUGGCACGU
Molecule: long non-coding RNA, 497 nt
Filed under: Gadus morhua (Atlantic cod)
Lineage: Eukaryota; Metazoa; Chordata; Actinopteri; Gadiformes; Gadidae
Description: lncRNA (ENSGMOG00000034769.1)
Source: RNAcentral